UUCGAUUUAGGAGCCAGUAGUCUGUCUUGGCCUGACUCAUCUAAAAUGCCUGUGAUUAGUAAGCCAACUUUAUUUGGUUCAGACAAAUGUUUUCAUCACAAAUUAAAAUAUAUAACUACAUCUGGUGUCCUCUUAGGGCUGGAUUCAUCAUUAACUAAAAGCAAAGCACAUUCAGUGGAGUGUUUCCGUGAUGAACAGGACCUGUGCAGCGCUGUGGCUGAACUGAAGCAAGCUCACCAGCAGAUGAACAAGCAGAAGAGCAGCCUGUUGAUGAUGGUGACUCAGUGUGAAGAUGAGAACCUGCAGCUCAGUGUGGAAGUCACUGAGCUGCAGGCACAACUGGACAGCGCUCAGCGGUCAACGCAGGCAGUGAGAUAUCUCACAGACGAACUGGAGGAGACCCAGCAGAUUUUAAGAGAGACCCAGGAGAGAGCUGGCCAAACCCAGCGCAGCUUCUCCAAACUGGUACAUCAAAGACGCGCCUCAGAAGUUAUCUUUAAAGCAGGAUUUUAUUUUUCACACAGAUGUUUUUUCUGGUUUGGGUUUUAG
This 549-nucleotide long non-coding RNA is filed under the name Oryzias sinensis (Chinese medaka). RNAcentral's name for it is "lncRNA (ENSOSIG00000011615.1)". Lineage: Eukaryota; Metazoa; Chordata; Actinopteri; Beloniformes; Adrianichthyidae. The record is from RNAcentral.